Molecule: ribosomal RNA, 449 nt
Filed under: uncultured bacterium
Lineage: Bacteria
Description: partial 16S ribosomal RNA
Rfam family: Bacterial small subunit ribosomal RNA
Source: RNAcentral
AACGAACGCUGGCGGCAUGCCUAACACAUGCAAGUCGAACGAAGGCUUCGGCCUUAGUGGCGCACGGGUGCGUAACGCGUGGGAAUCUGCCCCUCGGUUCGGAAUAACAGUUAGAAAUGACUGCUAAUACCGGAUGAUGACUUCGGUCCAAAGAUUUAUCGCCGAGGGAUGAGCCCGCGUAAGAUUAGGUAGUUGGUGGGGUAAAGGCCUACCAAGCCGACGAUCUUUAGCUGGUCUGAGAGGAUGAUCAGCCACACUGGGACUGAGACACGGCCCAGACUCCUACGGGAGGCAGCAGUGGGGAAGAUGGGAAAAGGGGCGAAAGCCUGAUCCAGCAAUGCCGCGUGAGUGAUGAAGGCCUUAGGGUUGUAAAGCUCUUUUACCAGGGAUGAUAAUGACAGUACCUGGAGAAUAAGCUCCGGCUAACUCCGUGCCAGCCGCCGCGGUAA